Non-coding RNA from Camelina sativa (false flax), 447 nucleotides. Lineage: Eukaryota; Viridiplantae; Streptophyta; Magnoliopsida; Brassicales; Brassicaceae. The record is from RefSeq and is a predicted model, not a curated record.
UCAAAUAAAAUAUAUGGGAUAUCCAAUUACUAUAAAAUAAAAACAGUGAAUUUGUGGGGAAAGCAGUCCUAUAAAUAAAACUCAGUCAAGAAAAACUAAAAGAUCAUAGAACAUAUAUAAUGGGUAUCACAAAAACCUCUAUAACUGUUUUUCUUGUAAUAAUAUUGACAAAUUCGUUUACUUAUGACAAUGUUUUGGUCGUGUCAGGUGCAGUGAUCGAGCCAGCAAAAUAUGGUGUUUGCCUUUUUAAAUGUGAAGGUAGAUUGGAUGAUUUUGCAUGCGCCAAUGACUGUAAUCUGAAACCUGGAUACCGAGAUGGAUAUUGUAUUGGAAAUCCUCCACGAUGUUGUUGCGUUAUACGAUAAUAUAAUCGAUUACCAGAUUCUAAAAGAUGAGCUUGUUGAAUUGUUUUUAAAUUUCUUGAUAAUAAAAACAAAACUUAUAACU